This 1536-nucleotide long non-coding RNA is filed under the name Sparus aurata (gilthead seabream). RNAcentral's name for it is "lncRNA (ENSSAUG00010010923.1)". The record is from RNAcentral. Lineage: Eukaryota; Metazoa; Chordata; Actinopteri; Spariformes; Sparidae.
CCUUAGAUUACGCACACGCUCUUUGGCGGAACUCUAUGCUAAUGAAGCCGGCUGCAGGGCUGAUGGUGGUGCUGUCCUCCGCUCCCGCCUCUUCACCUCCCCACAUGCAGGGUGACAUCCUUCAGUCACUCCUGCAGCCUGAACAUGGCCGGAUCGCAGCUCCUCUCGGUCUUUACCCUCUUUGUCUUCUUCCCUGUCGUGCGUGUUUUUGGAGAGGUUGUAAACUUGGCGGACUCUGUGCAGUUAACGGUGAAUGGGGUCUGUGCGGGCGGUGACAUGCAGCUGGUCCGGGUCCGGAGGACAGACACCAGCUCUCGGUCAGUCGCAAACCGUGUCGGCGGUGUAUGGAAGCCCGCUGAUGACUACAAGGACCGGAUUCAUCACGUUUCAGCCUCCAGCGUCAACCUGACCAGAGUGAACUUCAACGAUGAUGCGUUUUAUGAGUUCACUUGUAAAAGUGAUCUUAUGAAAACCAUCCAGCUGACUGUGAUCUUCCCCUAUGAUGUGAGAGUGUCUGAGGGGGAGACAGCCAGGAUCCCCUGCUACUCCUCCACGGAGGGGCUGCAGGGGGGGAGCGCACGGUGGGAGAGGGACGGGGAGCUGGUUCUGGGUCAGAACCGCUCCUCCGGACAGCCCGAGGGGAGACUGUCGGUGUCACCUGACUGGAUCCAGACUGGAGACUUGUCCCUGACUGUGAAGGACGCUCAGCUGGAGGACGGAGGGAACUACGUUUGUUACACCGUGGAUGGAAACGGAGAGAAAACCAGAGGAAGAAGUCCUGCUGCUGUGAAGGUGACCGUCCAGAGGAGCCGCCCUGCUCCCACUGGUACCCUGCAGCCGACACCGGGACCGGACGAGGAGCAGACUGGACCUGGACUCAUCGUCAGUAUAAUCUUAAAUGUGCUGCUCUUAGCUGUAGUUCUCUUCUGCGUGGUAUGUUUGUUUCGUGUUCGUACAACACGUUCUCAUUCCCAACGCGUUGGGAAUGAGAACGUGUUGGUUCGUAAGGCCCGCAGAGCUGCAGGUGUCAGACCCCCCGCAGAUACGGAGAUGGAGCCUCUGGGUGGAGAUCCUGAUCACGUUCCUAAUGGAGGGGCCCACAGAGCGGAGCCAUGACACCCAGAAAUCAGACCCACAUGUUAAUUAUUGUGAUUAUUACGACCUGAUUAAGAUCAACACUGGGAUGGUUGAUGUCACUCAGCUUCACACUCCUCAACAACACAGUUUAUUCCACUUCCUGCUCGCUUUUAAAUAUAUCGUAUCUGAGUGUCACAUCUUCUGCUUCUUUAACAAUAAAAGUGAUCUGAUUUUUAAAAUAUGACCAUCUUUUGUUUAUGUUCGUGUGUGUGUGUGUGUGUGUGUGGAGGGAGAGAGAGAUGAGCGGGAAGCUGAUACUGUAUCGUGUGUUUCCCUUUUUCAGCGGAUUUUUCUGCUACUGCAGAUAAUUUUGUCAACGUAUAAUAUAUUAGUUGUGUGACUACAUCAAAAUGUGCUUUCUCAACUUCUAAAGUUUUGAUUUGAGUGGGCGCUGCUCCU